Molecule: ribosomal RNA, 468 nt
Filed under: uncultured bacterium
Lineage: Bacteria
Description: partial 16S ribosomal RNA
Rfam family: Bacterial small subunit ribosomal RNA
Source: RNAcentral
GACGAACGCUGGCGGCGUGCUUAACACAUGCAAGUCGAACGGAAAGGCCCUGCUUUUGUGGGUUGCUCGAGUGGCGAACGGGUGAGUAACACGUGAGUAACCUGCCCUUGACUUUGGGAUAACUUCAGGAAACUGGGGCUAAUACCGGAUAGGAGCUCCUGCUGCAUGGUGGGGGUUGGACAGUUUCGGCGGUUGGGGAUGGACUCGCGGCUUAUCAGCUUGUUGGUGUGGUAGUGGCUGACCAAGGCUUUGCCGGGUAGCCGGCCUGAGAGGGUGACCGGCACCAUCGGGACUGAGAUACGGCCCAGACUCCUACGGGAGGCAGCAGUGGGGAAUAUGGCAAAAGGGGCGGAAGCGUGAUGCAGCAGCGCCGCGUGCGGGAGGACGGCCUUCGGGUUGUAAACCGCUUUCGCCUGUGACGAAGCGGGAGUGACGGGAAUGGGUAAAGAAGCACCGGCUAACUACGUG